AGGGGAGGGGCGCCGCGAGCCGGAGCGGGCACCGCCCCCUGCCAGCUCGCUCCCCGAGCGCACCGCGGCCCAGCCGCAAGGCCGCCGGUCCUCACCUUUGAAACGCCGGCAGCUGCGCGCGCUGCGGCGGGCGCGGAGAGGAGCCACCUCGUCACGUGGGGAGGAAAUGCCUUGCCAGCCUCGAAACCUACUGGCUCUUGUUUCUGGGGUUUUAUGGCCAGGAGAGUGGGGUCAGCUCUCAAACCCAAGAUCAAAGGACGGUGCAGGACCCAUCGCCCUGGGAAGUUUUCUCCCCUUUCCCGUCUUUCUCCUUCUCACCUUCUCAGAAAGCGUAGCGAAAGGGGCCUGCCACCCUACUGGCUUUUCCUUUUAGGGAAAUUCCAUUUCCUAACGUGUCCUGUUUUGAAAGAGGCCCAUUUAUUGGGUAAUGACGGCAGCCUGCUAGGCAGAAGUCAGGCCAGGAGCAGUCACUUUGAUUAUUUUAUUCAACGAAUGCCUACUGAUCAUCCUCCUGGGUGCCAGGCGCUAUAGUGGGGCUUCAGUAGUGACCAAGGACUCAGACCCUGCCUUGGCUACCCACAUCACCGAAGAAAUGAGUUAUCAGGCGACAAGGUGACUCCUGGUGCUCAGUACUUGAAAAUCCAAGACACAAGAGCGGGAAAUCCUCUCUGAUGCCAAGAGUGCACACUUUACCUCUGGUUAGAACAGGGGUAAUGCCAGGUUAACAGAACGCUAGCCAUGUGGUUCUAACCUCUGGGGAUUUUAGGCAGCAAAAAUCUCAUCGCAUAGCCAGAGAAAUAAUCACAGAUUCCCACGGCACACUUUCGGGCGGUAUAACAGCUCCUGGCCUGCUUGAGAUCUGUGGGAGUGAGUCAGUGCUGGAGAUCUGAGCUGGAAGCUGCCCGGAGUCCUUCUGCACUGAUAUUUUGUCCCUUUUCCUAACUGUCCUUCGGUCAUUGAUGAGGAUGAGUGUCCCCAGAUGUGCCUGUCUCAGGGCACCCUCUCCCGGGCACACCUGAUUGGAUCAAGCUAUGCACCUGACCCAGGCUGGGUCAACCAAAUUCCCUCUCCCAGGAAUCUGGUAUUGGACUGAGGACAGCCACUCACCUUUGGCUAAUCUCUUUAGGAGAGAAGAUGUAGAUGUGAUAGUUGUUGAGGGAUUAUCCUCUGCCCAGCUACUCACAGAGAAGAAAGUGGAUUGCAGAGAGAGACAUGAAGCAGAGAAGAAAGCUGGAGAAGGUGGACUGUCUAGGUUCCUAGCAGCUUCUCGGGCUACCUUGAGGCCAUCUGUCCUUGGACUUCAUGAGAUACUGCUAUACUCUUCUAUGUCCCUUAAUGCUUACGUCAGCUCAAGUUGAUUACUUCCAACCAAAAGGACUUAGACAAAGACAAAGCCAAGACCAUCAGUGAGGUUUUUUUCUUUAUAACCAGGUCCCUUACAGCAUCCUGGGGAGCACUGUAGGUCCUAAAUACACAUUAUUCACAUUAUUCACUCUCCAAAGGCUUCCAUUAGGCAAAAACAUCUUCUCAUCCAAGGCCAACUAGAUUAGGAAAUGGCAUUUCUUCUGGCUUUCCAUCCCCAGAGGGCAAAUGCACAGAUGACUGCAGUUAGCAAGUGACUUUGUGGGUUAGUAUUUGCUGAAGGCACACACCCAGGGACUUGAAUGACAGAAAUCCCCAGGUGCCAGGGAGAAGACUGGCAAUUAUGCCUCCAAUCACCUCCCUGUUCUGCCGCCCUCUAAAUCAGCACUCCCCACCGCGGUGACCCUCAAUGACUGGCAAGGCGACCCAUUUUUAAAGGGCCAAUUUUUAACAGCUGGAAACAAUAAACGUCGUGGGAGGUGAA
Molecule: long non-coding RNA, 1846 nt
Organism: Pongo pygmaeus (Bornean orangutan)
Lineage: Eukaryota; Metazoa; Chordata; Mammalia; Primates; Hominidae
Exons: 3
Source: RefSeq, a predicted model, not a curated record